GGGCCCGCACAAGCGGUGGAGCAUGUGGUUUAAUUCGAUGCAACGCGCAGAACCUUAUCCAGACCUGGGCAUGUAUAGGAGGAUAUCAGAGAUGGUAUUUUCUUUUCGGAGACCUUUACACAGGUGCGGCAUGGCUGUCGUCAGCUCGUGUCGUGAGAUGUUGGGUUAAGUCCUUGCAACGAGCGCAACUCCUGCUUCUAGUUGCCAUCAAGUUUAGGUUUUUACAUAGAUGUGGAAUACUUUAUAGGGACUGCCGGUGAUAAGCCGGAGGAAGGUGGGGAUGACGUCAAGUCCUC
Molecule: ribosomal RNA, 296 nt
Filed under: uncultured Candidatus Liberibacter sp.
Lineage: Bacteria; Pseudomonadati; Pseudomonadota; Alphaproteobacteria; Hyphomicrobiales; Rhizobiaceae
Description: partial 16S ribosomal RNA
Rfam family: Bacterial small subunit ribosomal RNA
Source: RNAcentral